This 73-nucleotide transfer RNA is filed under the name Stegodyphus mimosarum. It matches the Rfam family "tRNA". From Rfam's summary of the family: Transfer RNA (tRNA) molecules are approximately 80 nucleotides in length. Their secondary structure includes four short double-helical elements and three loops (D, anti-codon, and T loops). The record is from Rfam by way of RNAcentral. Lineage: Eukaryota; Metazoa; Arthropoda; Arachnida; Araneae; Eresidae.
GCCUUUAUGGUGUAGUGGUCAGCAUGCUCAACACGUAUUUUAUAGAUCUGUGGUUCAAAUCCCAGCGAGGGCA